Molecule: ribosomal RNA, 497 nt
Filed under: uncultured bacterium
Lineage: Bacteria
Description: partial 16S ribosomal RNA
Rfam family: Bacterial small subunit ribosomal RNA
Source: RNAcentral
GAUGAACGCUGGCGGCGUGCCUAAUACAUGCAAGUCGAGCGAACAGACGAGGAGCUUGCUCCUCUGACGUUAGCGGCGGACGGGUGAGUAACACGUGGAUAACCUACCUAUAAGACUGGGAUAACUUCGGGAAACCGGAGCUAAUACCGGAUAAUAUAUUGAACCGCAUGGUUCAAUAGUUAAAGACGGUUUUGCUGUCACUUAUAGAUGGAUCCGCGCCGCAUUAGCUAGUUGGUAAGGUAACGGCUUACCAAGGCAACGAUGCGUAGCCGACCUGAGAGGGUGAUCGGCCACACUGGAACUGAGACACGGUCCAGACACCUACGGGAGGCAGCAGUAGGGAAUCUUCCGCAAUGGGCGAAAGCCUGACGGAGCAAAGCCGCGUGAGUGAUGAAGGUCUUCGGAUCGUAAAACUCUGUUAUUAGGGAAGAACAAAUGUGUAAGUAACUAUGCACGUCUUGACGGUACCUAAUCAGAAAGCCACGGCUAACUACGUG